Molecule: non-coding RNA, 46 nt
Organism: Podiceps cristatus (great crested grebe)
Lineage: Eukaryota; Metazoa; Chordata; Aves; Podicipediformes; Podicipedidae
Source: Rfam
CCAAAGGCUCUUUUCAGAACCACCAAUCCUUUCAGUUAAAGGGCUU